CAGCAGCCGCGGUAAUACGAAGGGUGCAAGCGUUAAUCGGAAUUACUGGGCGUAAAGCGUGCGCAGGCGGUUUGUUAAGACAGAUGUGAAAUCCCCGGGCUCAACCUGGGAACUGCAUUUGUGACUGGCAAGCUAGAGUGUGGCAGAGGGGGGUGGAAUUCCGCGUGUAGCAGUGAAAUGCAUAGAUAUGCGGAGGAACACCGAUGGCGAAGGCAGCCCCCUGGGCCAACACUGACGCUCAUGCACGAAAGCGUGGGGAGCAAACAGGAUUAGAUACCCCGGUAGUCCCUGUCUCUUAUAC
This 301-nucleotide ribosomal RNA is filed under the name uncultured bacterium. RNAcentral describes it as "partial 16S ribosomal RNA". It matches the Rfam family "Bacterial small subunit ribosomal RNA", at positions 509 to 807 of the family's 1533-position model. The record is from RNAcentral.